CCAAAACAUCCUCUAGUACACGAGGGUACUCUAAUGCAUAAAGGAAAAGCUACUAACUAGGCUCACUUAGGGCGCUAUGCCCUUGCCGCGGUCCUCGCUCGGCUCGCCUCUGUGUGUACCUGUACCCCAAAACCACAUGGGGUGAGAACUAUAUAAAUAUAGUUCCCAGUGGGUUCGGCCGCCGACUUCGCCGAUCUUCCCACUAGGUCCAAGCAGGCACAAGUAGAUAGAUAGAUAGAUAGAUAGAUGUGAAAUUGAAGUGCAACAUAGUAAAGUAAUAUGCAACAUUCUACUAUGCCUUCAAUAACCAAUGGAAUGAGCUACAACAUAGUAUAUGAUCUAUGCCUCAAUAAUCCAAUGUAUGAACAACUACAUAGUAUGCAAUCUACACAUGCUACUAUGUCUCAACAGUAAAGAAUGCAUAGAACUACUACAUAGUAUGCAAUCUACUCAAUAACAAGGGUGAGGAUCCGCUCACUCACCCAAAUCACAAUCUAGUCUCAAAGGGGCGGAUCCGCUCACUCGCCCGACUCACAACAUAGGUAUGACAACCCAAUCUCGACUCAUAGGUGAGGAUCAGCUCACUCACCCAACUCUCAAUCUACACACAGCGGGGUUCUACACACAACGGGGAGGAUCCGCUCACUCGCCCGACUCCCAAUUUAAACACAACGGGGAGGAUCCGCUCACUCGCCCGACUCACACUCUAAACACAACGGGGAGGAUCCGCUCACUCGCCCGACUCUCGACAUAGGUACGACAACCCAAUCUCAAUUCAUAGGUGAGGAUCAGCUCACUCACCCGACUCACCUGGGGAGGAUCAGCUCACUUGCCCAAGACUGUCUGCGGGACCCAAAUGGCUAUCCCUAUCAUGUGACGACUCCGGAGUGCACUGCUUGUGUGUAGCGACCACCUACAAGCUCUGAACAGACAUGUGAGUAUGAUCCAAUCCUCACAAGAGGAUACCCUAUCUACCAGGGUUAAUGUGCCUCAACUGCACUAAUGCCAAAUGCAUAAUGUCUACAACAUGACAAUCGGAAAAAUCUACUAUCCCUAGGUUCAAAUGCCAUAGUGUUCCACUACACUAGAUUUGAUGCCACUCAUUUAUGUCAUGAUGCUAUAUGUGUCUCAAUACACUAAAUUGACAUGCCACUCGUUCUUGUUAUAGUGUCUCUAUUACACUAAUCCAAAUGCUACUAGUUUUCAUCAUCACGAGUCCAAGUUCAUCAUCAUUCGUGUCACUAUAGGAUUCUUGUCACAUGACCCAAUCCUCAUGCAACCUAAGUUCAAGUGUCAAGCCCACAAUGCUACAUUACCAUAGGAAAUAUGCAAGGAAAUGGAAUGUAAUCAUCUACUAAUCCUAUAAUGCACAAUAUCAAUAUAUGAAUAUGAUCAAAAUAAAACUUAGACAUAAAAGGAAGCCCGGUUGCUUCGGGAUGACACCCCCCACCUUUUAUCGCUAUCACGAGGCUAGGGUUUCGAUUUCGUGAUUUUUGGAAGCUUUCGCCGCAAGCUGCGGCAAUCUGUACCUUAACGGCUUCGUUCUUUAAUAUCUUCGCGUACGUUCGUCGUAUCGCCGAACCGACUUCGCCAACGCGUCAGAAAACCUAACAAUUAGGUUUAUACAUGAUCAAUUUAGAUCAAAACCCCUCACAAGCAAAACCCCUCUUUUGAUGCCCUAAGAUGCAACUAUGCAAGAAUUCAUCAUUUGAUCUCUAAAUUCGAGCAUCAACCAUCUAUUUAGCAUCUAGGAGUUUCACUAAACCCAUUUCUAAGGCAUACAACUCAUUACUUAGCAAUCUACCAUUGUUGCUAUCAAAGCUUACCUCUCAAACCCAAGCUCUCUCCAAGCCAAUGGUGAAGAAAAAGAAAGCUUCACCUCUAAGCAAGCUUUUUCUUUUCCAAAUCCAUCUCCAAUUUCUCUCUUUGGUGGAGAAAUUGCUAGAGAGAGAGAGAUCUUUCUCUUUGGUUGCAAAUGUGAGGAAAUGAGAGAAAAGGCUCAAUCCUUCAUAUAUAUAUGUAUAUAGGAAACUUGGCCUCCAAGUUUCAUAGGAAACUUGACCUCCAAGUUAUCCAAGAAUACUAUUCACUCCAGGCAGUUCCAAAUCUGAUAUCUUUCGCCGGAACUCCCUAAACAUCCGUUUGAGCUCAAAUUUGACAGUCAUAUUCGGUUUUGCUUAACGAGUCCAAAGAAAUUUUAAUAUUUCAGUUUCGACCCCGUUUGGUCACCGAAAGCUCUACCGAACUGAAAUCUUUAUCAGAUAACAGUCGGAUUUUAUUUUCCACCUUUCGGGUGUCAGAAUGAUAUGAAACUUUAAAUAUAGCCUCAUAAAAAUAAUCCUGACUUAUCCUCCCGUUUUCAGAAUUUUCUGACACUGUGCAUUUUCUGCUAAUUUAUCUGCCCCGUUUCGCACAGAAAAUUUUAAAUCUUCUGUUUUCGCUCCGAUUUCAGCACAGGUCAUUCCCAACCUAUAUUUCACUUCUCUAAAUCCAAUAAAAAUAGUAUCUCAUACUACUUUUAUUUAUUUCUAUUUUUAUAUUUAAAACCCGGUAUAUUACAUUCCACCGCAACCUCACCGGAAUCAUUUAAAUGUACACCGUAACUUCAUUGUUUUAGAAGUCCGGUACCUUACAGGUCCCCUAUACAAAAAAAU
Molecule: long non-coding RNA, 2654 nt
Filed under: Ananas comosus (pineapple)
Lineage: Eukaryota; Viridiplantae; Streptophyta; Magnoliopsida; Poales; Bromeliaceae
Description: long non-coding RNA (ACOM_LNC032659)
Source: RNAcentral